Molecule: long non-coding RNA, 629 nt
Organism: Oxyura jamaicensis (ruddy duck)
Lineage: Eukaryota; Metazoa; Chordata; Aves; Anseriformes; Anatidae
Exons: 5
Source: RefSeq, a predicted model, not a curated record
GGUCUGUACCAAGGAAGGGAACCAGGAAGGUCUGUGAGCCACAGGCAUCUCCCCCACUGCCUCUGCCACACUGAUUCCUGGGGAUUGAGGAGGAGAAGGGCUCCAGAGGAGCUGAAUGCUGCAGCUGCUCACUGGAGUAAAUGGACUACUCUGGCAUGCAGCCACGCUAUUCUACGGCAGCCAUGGAACAAGCUCCUCGGGGUUACCCACUGUGAGAAUGUCUCCUUAAACACCUGUGUAAUUCCUCUCAAAACCAUCUUGAAAUGUGCCAGCUUCUUACCCUGGGAUCUGUUAUCCUGUUCGGUUCGGGGCACCUCAGGCUUCCAUCACCUGCCUGCAGCCCUGGGAGUCAGCACUGCAACCUCAGUCUGCUGGCGUGGGAGAGGAAGACCAAGCUCCAGUAGUAAUGUGCAUUUGUCAUGGAAACUGAUUUGAAUUUAAUUCUAAACCCUGUUUUGCACCAGGAAAAUCUUCCAUUGGUAGUGAGGUACCACAGCUGGGCGAAAUAAUAGAUGUGGGAAAGAAAAAGAGCAAGGUGUGUUUUCAUGCUUCCCCGUCUACUUCACUGCAUCUCCUCCUUUACAUCAUCGUUUUUGAAGAUGCUUCCAUAGAACUGCCCUGGGGGGAUG